GACGAACGCUGGCGGCGUGCUUUAUACAUGCAAGUCGAACGAUGAAGUUCCUUCGGGAAUGGAUUAGUGGCGAACGGGUGAGGAACACGUGAGAAACCUGCCUUUCAUUCUGGGAUAACACCGGGAAACCGGUGCUAAUACCGGAUACUCCGUCUUGGCGGCAUCGCCGAGCCGGGAAAAAAUUUUGAUGAAAGAUGGUCUCGCGGCCUAUCAGCUAGUUGGUGAGGUAAAGGCUCACCAAGGCGACGACGGGUAGCCGGCCUGAGAGGGCGACCGGCCACACUGGGACUGAGACACGGCCCAGACUCCUACGGGAGGCAGCAGUAGGGAAUAUUGGGCAAUGGGCGCAAGCCUGACCCAGCGACGCCGCGUGAGGGAUGAAGGUCUUCGGAUUGUAAACCUCUUUCAGUAGGGAAGAAGCGAAAGUGACGGUACCUAAAGAAGAAGCACCGGCUAACUAUGUGCCAGCCGCCGCUGUAA
Molecule: ribosomal RNA, 480 nt
Filed under: uncultured bacterium
Lineage: Bacteria
Description: partial 16S ribosomal RNA
Rfam family: Bacterial small subunit ribosomal RNA
Source: RNAcentral